This 72-nucleotide transfer RNA is filed under the name Pelodiscus sinensis (Chinese soft-shelled turtle). It matches the Rfam family "tRNA". From Rfam's summary of the family: Transfer RNA (tRNA) molecules are approximately 80 nucleotides in length. Their secondary structure includes four short double-helical elements and three loops (D, anti-codon, and T loops). Further hydrogen bonds mediate the characteristic L-shaped molecular structure. tRNAs have two regions of fundamental functional importance: the anti-codon, which is responsible for specific mRNA codon recognition, and the 3' end, to which the tRNAs corresponding amino acid is attached (by aminoacyl-tRNA synthetases). tRNAs cope with the degeneracy of the genetic code in two manners: having more than one tRNA (with a specific anti-codon) for a particular amino acid; and 'wobble' base-pairing, i.e. permitting non-standard base-pairing at the 3rd anti-codon position. Lineage: Eukaryota; Metazoa; Chordata; Testudines; Trionychidae. The record is from Rfam by way of RNAcentral.
UACUUGGUGGUCUUGUGAUUAGGAUUCAGCACUUUUACUGCUGAGGCCUGGGUUCAAUUCCCAGUUAGGAAA